Molecule: ribosomal RNA, 475 nt
Filed under: uncultured bacterium
Lineage: Bacteria
Description: bacterial SSU rRNA
Rfam family: Bacterial small subunit ribosomal RNA
Source: RNAcentral
UGCAGUCGAACGCGAAAGCGCCUUCGGGUGUGAGUAGAGUGGCGGACGGGUGAGUAACGCGUGGGAAUCUGCCCUGCAGUGGGGGACAACCCGAGGAAACUCGGGCUAAUACCGCAUACGUCUUACGAGAGAAAGGGGGCUUCGGCUCUCGCUGCAGGAUGAGCCCGCGUCCGAUUAGCUUGUUGGUAGGGUAACGGCCUACCAAGGCGACGAUCGGUAGCAGGUCUGAGAGGAUGAUCAGCCACCACUGGGACUGAGACACGGCCCAGAAUCCUACGGGAAGGCAGCAGUGGGGGAAUAUUGGACCAUGGGGGGAAAGCCUGGAUCCAGCAAUGCCGCGUGUGUGAAGAAAGCCUGCGGGGUUGUAAAGCACUUUCAGUGGGGGAAGAAAAGCUGAAGGUUAAUACCCUUGAGUGGUGACGUUACCCACAGAAGAAGCACCGGCUAACUCCGUGCCAGCAGCCGCGGUAAUACG